AUUAUGACGUACUUGUACUGAUUGAGAUUUUAACACGAAGUGAGUGGCGAACGGGUGAGUAACACGUGGGUAACCUGCCCAGAAGUAGGGGAUAACACCUGGAAACAGAUGCUAAUACCGUAUAACAGAGAAAACCGCAUGGUUUUCUUUUAAAAGAUGGCUCUGCUAUCACUUCUGGAUGGACCCGCGGCGUAUUAGCUAGUUGGUGAGGUAAAGGCUCACCAAGGCAGUGAUACGUAGCCGACCUGAGAGGGUAAUCGGCCACAUUGGGACUGAGACACGGCCCAGACUCCUACGGGAGGCAGCAGUAGGGAAUCUUCCACAAUGGACGCAAGUCUGAUGGAGCAACGCCGCGUGAGUGAAGAAGGGUUUCGGCUCGUAAAGCUCUGUUGUUAAAGAAGAACGUGGGUAAGAGUAACUGUUUACCCAGUGACGGUAUUUAACCAGAAAGCCACGGCUAACUACGUGCCAGCAGCCGCGGUAAUACGUAGGUGGCAAGCGUUAUCCGGAUUUAUUGGGCGUAAAGCGAGCGCAGGCGGUCUUUUAAGUCUAAUGUGAAAGCCUUCGGCUCAACCGAAGAAGUGCAUUGGAAACUGGGAGACUUGAGUGCAGAAGAGGACAGUGGAACUCCAUGGGUAG
This 639-nucleotide ribosomal RNA is filed under the name Pediococcus pentosaceus. Its description in RNAcentral is "bacterial SSU rRNA". It matches the Rfam family "Bacterial small subunit ribosomal RNA", at positions 63 to 678 of the family's 1533-position model. The record is from RNAcentral. Lineage: Bacteria; Bacillati; Bacillota; Bacilli; Lactobacillales; Lactobacillaceae.